Molecule: ribosomal RNA, 253 nt
Filed under: uncultured bacterium
Lineage: Bacteria
Description: partial 16S ribosomal RNA
Rfam family: Bacterial small subunit ribosomal RNA
Source: RNAcentral
UACGUAGGGUGCAAGCGUUAUUCGGAAUUACUGGGCGUAAAGCGUGCGCAGGCGGCUUUUCAAGUCAGAUGUGAAAUCCCCGGGCUCAACCUGGGAACUGCAUUUGUGACUGCAAGGCUAGAGUACGGUAGAGGGGGAUGGAAUUCCGCGUGUAGCAGUGAAAUGCGUAGAUAUGCGGAGGAACACCGAUGGCGAAGGCAAUCCCCUGGACCUGUACUGACGCUCAUGCACGAAAACGUGGGGAGCAAACAGG